This 433-nucleotide ribosomal RNA is filed under the name uncultured bacterium. RNAcentral describes it as "partial 16S ribosomal RNA". It matches the Rfam family "Bacterial small subunit ribosomal RNA", at positions 29 to 507 of the family's 1533-position model. The record is from RNAcentral.
AACGAACGCUGGCGGCAUGCCUAACACAUGCAAGUCGAACGAGACCUUCGGGUCUAGUGGCGCACGGGUGCGUAACGCGUGGGAACCUGCCCUUAGGUUCGGAAUAACUCCCCGAAAGGGGUGCUAAUACCGGAUAAUGUCUUCGGACCAAAGAUUUAUCGCCUUUGGAUGGGCCCGCGUUGGAUUAGCUAGUUGGUAGGGUAAAAGCCCACCAAGGCGACGAUCCAUAGCUGGUCUGAGAGGAUGAUCAGCCACACUGGGACUGAGACACGGCCCAGACUCCUACGGGAGGCAGCAGUGGGGAAUAUUGGACAAUGGGCGAAAGCCUGAUCCAGCAAUGACGCGUGAGUGAUGAAGGCCUUAGGGUUGUAAAGCCCUUUUACCCGGGAUGAUAAUGACAGUACCGGGAGAAUAAGCGCCGGCUAACUCCGUG